UACGGAGGUGGCAAGCGUUGUUCGGAUUUAUUGGGUGUAAAGGGUAUGUAGGUGGUUAUGUAAGUCGAGCGUGAAAUCCAUUGGCUCAACCAAUGAACUGCACUCGAAACUGCGUAACUUGAGUUCAGGAGAGGAAAGCAGAAUUCCCGGUGUAAGAGUGAAAUCUGUAGAGAUCGGGAGGAAUACCAGUGGCGAAGGCGGCUUUCUGGACUGAUACUGACACUGAAAUACGAAAGCUAGGGGAGCAAACAGGAUUAGAUACCCCCGUA
RNAcentral lists this ribosomal RNA (269 nucleotides) under uncultured prokaryote. RNAcentral describes it as "partial 16S ribosomal RNA". It matches the Rfam family "Bacterial small subunit ribosomal RNA", at positions 524 to 792 of the family's 1533-position model. The record is from RNAcentral.